AAUGCCGUUGCUAAAGCUCAUUACUAAAUAAAUAACUAAAUAAAAAUGAAAAACUUCGAUCAUCUCGUGUUGAAGGCGAACCAAAAGAAAUGGGUAGGUUCAACAAAAAGCGAUAAUAUUCUCAAUUUCUCAUCUCGUGUUCAUGGCUGCGUCGUUCCCAUCGCCGAAGCCCAUCCCCGCCGCGCAUCGGUCAUCGAUCUUCACCGCCGUUUCUGAGCCACCGCGACACCACCAACCCUCGCCGGUGUUGAAGGCGAACCCAAACUCCGACUGGCAACGGUGAGAGCGACUGGAGACGGUGGCCACAAAAUCGACGCUGGCCAUGACCUAAUCGAUGCACUCACGCAUCAAAUCUCGAAGCUCCAUUCUUCUUCUCGAAGCUCCAUAAUCGCUGCCUCUGCGAUGAUGAAAUCGGAAGGAUUCGGUUUCAAAGAACUUUGGUUUCCGGAAGAAGAGUGAUUGAUUCGUUCUGUGUCGACUUAAUUUUGAUUUUGUUCAUUUUCAGGUUGUUCUGUAUGGAGAUCUCUCUCGCGCCCUUGUGAUCCUCCUUCCUUUACUCUUCAUCUAUGGCGGUGUCUGCUUCUACCUCCCUGGCUUAGUGCCGCAAGAUUUCCAAAAGGUUAUGUGAGGGUGGAGAACUGCCAAAUCAGAUAUUGGCCUAGUGUGGGCCUAUAAAUUGCUAAUUGAGAAUGACAAUAGUGAGAAAGGGAGCAGAAACAGAAGCAGAUAAAAUAGUAGAUGGCUUGUAAUGGGAGCAGAAGCAGACAGAUAUAAAUUGGGGAUGUGGGAACCAUCUGAAUCUAAUGGGAUGCUUUCAAAAACGCUAGCAUGAACAAGAACUGCGAGUAGUCUCAGGGAAUCUGUUUCCUUGGCUACAUUUUCUUUCUAUUAAGUUUUUUCCUCCUUCGAUCAAUAGUUAAUAAUUUUGCAUAAUAUGUGUUAAAUUCUUACCCUCCUUGCCCUGCUUAUUUUAUUAUUUACUUUCAUCUUUUCCUGUUAUACAUUGGUGGUUACUAAUGAUGCAUGCUAUUUUCUCUUUCAGGUAAACAGAAUCAUGGAACUCCCAGAAGAUAGUAAGGCAGUAGCCAAGCACACAGAUAGUCCCAAUCAUCAGGCAUUUGAAUGAAGAUGUGCUUCUUUCAGAGGCUGUGCAGGAUUUGGUGUCCAAGGUUCGUUUUCAUCCCUUUGAUAUUGAAUUACAUUAUCUAUUUUAUUUCUUUCUAUCUUUACUUUUUUUUCUUAUUAAUUAUAUGCUUAAAUACUAUUUGUUGGUGCAUGCCAGUAGUUGUUUCACUGUGUUUAUAGCUAGUCAUUUCUUUAGUUUGCUACGCCUUUGGAGAGACAUUAUGGAGGAAGAAACAGAACUAGAAAUCAAGAAAUGAACCACUACUGGUAUUUGCAAAUCCCUAAAACUUGCAUCUUCUCUACCUAACACUCAGGACACUGCCAAUAGUUCUUCUUAACUCUAAAAGGGCUGGUGUCAAGUUUUCCUUCUUCAAGAUUUGAGCAAAAUGAUGAUGGCAUGAUGGUGGAAGAAGAUGAUGCUACACUUUGAUGGUGGAAUUUGUUGGUUUGAAUGCUGUUUUAAUUUGGCCAAAAAUAUUGUCGAUCAUUAGAACAAUUUGCAUCUUGUAGUUUGGAUCUUUAGUUUAUUAAUUUGGAUUCUAAUGUAUUAAUGUUGAUGGAUUAUUACGUGGAUUCAAAGAUGAUAAUGAUUGACAGUAUCUUUUUUGUA
Molecule: long non-coding RNA, 1735 nt
Organism: Lotus japonicus
Lineage: Eukaryota; Viridiplantae; Streptophyta; Magnoliopsida; Fabales; Fabaceae
Exons: 7
Source: RefSeq, a predicted model, not a curated record